CCUACGGGAGGCAGCAGUAGGGAAUCUUCCGCAAUGGACGAAAGUCUGACGGAGCAACGCCGCGUGAGCGGUGAAGGCCUUCGGGUCGUAAAGCUCUGUUGUUAGGGAAGAACAAGUACCGGAGUAACUGCCGGUACCUUGACGGUACCUAACCAGAAAGCCACGGCUAACUACGUGCCAGCAGCCGCGGUAAUACGUAGGUGGCAAGCGUUGUCCGGAAUUAUUGGGCGUAAAGCGCGCGCAGGCGGUCCUUUAAGUCUGAUGUGAAAGCCCACGGCUCAACCGUGGAGGGUCAUUGGAAACUGGGGGACUUGAGUGCAGAAGAGGAAAGCGGAAUUCCACGUGUAGCGGUGAAAUGCGUAGAGAUGUGGAGGAACACCAGUGGCGAAGGCGGCUUUCUGGUCUGUAACUGACGCUGAGGCGCGAAAGCGUGGGGAGCAAACAGGAUUAGAUACCCUGGUAGUCCACGCCGUAAACGAUGAGUGCUAAGUGUUAGAGGGUUUCCGCCCUUUAGUGCUGCAGCUAACGCAUUAAGCACUCCGCCUGGGGAGUACGGCCGCAAGGCUGAAACUCAAAGGAAUUGACGA
Molecule: ribosomal RNA, 587 nt
Filed under: uncultured bacterium
Lineage: Bacteria
Description: bacterial SSU rRNA
Rfam family: Bacterial small subunit ribosomal RNA
Source: RNAcentral